RNAcentral lists this long non-coding RNA (685 nucleotides) under Gallus gallus (chicken). Its description in RNAcentral is "long non-coding RNA NONGGAT001327". Lineage: Eukaryota; Metazoa; Chordata; Aves; Galliformes; Phasianidae. The record is from RNAcentral.
AAUGGAACUUGGCUUCUCUAUGACAUCUGGAUGCUCAAGCUGUGAAAGUCUGCCUGGCCCUGCUUAUCAAAUCUUGCCCUUAAAUGAGUACGCACAAAACAGUGCAGCUUAAGGCCAGGAGAUAUUGUAGGACUUGAAGCCUGCUUUCCAUGCCUGGAGAAGCAUUUUGCCUACACUCUAUUUCAGCGCCUCUUUGUAAAAUACAAACCUUGCUUCUUUAACCCACAGUGGGUGAGCCCCCAGUAAAUGCAUCCCACCCAAUGGGACAUGUCACAUGCAUGCAGGUGUUCCAUCUCCUCUCCCUGCUGGUAUGAGAUGUGUACACAGCCUGGCACACAUUCUGGUCGGCCUGAUUGUUUGUCCUGCAGAGACCUCGGGAUUUCAUCUGAACAGAUUUUGAGAGGGGAGGUGUGUGCCUCCACACGUACGAGUGAUGGUGCUAUCAAUCUUCUUGACUCACCCAUCAUCAUUCUCCGAUGAAUUGUGAUGUGCGGCGCUCCUGACAGACUCCUUCACCUCUCUCUGAGCCAUAGGAGCAGCUGCAGGACUGUAGUACUGUAAAGUUGCCACAGCAGAUCUCAAACCUUUCACUUUGCCUCUCCCUGUGUCUGUGCCAGCAAUAUCUGCUAUCUCAAAGCAUGAAAGUUCUGACUAAAAUCAUUGCUUAUUCCAGUGGCUCGUCUAC